ACGACCAUACCUACCAGAAAAUACGGGAUCCCGUCCGCUCUCCCAUAGUCAAGCUGGUAAGGGGCGGAUUAGUAGUUGGGUCGGUGACGACC
Molecule: ribosomal RNA, 92 nt
Filed under: Fusarium pseudograminearum CS3096
Lineage: Eukaryota; Fungi; Ascomycota; Sordariomycetes; Hypocreales; Nectriaceae
Source: RNAcentral